UGAGGCCCGUUUUCAGUGAAUAGAAAGAAAGAAAGUCUGAACUUCAAAACACACAACAACAACAACAUUCAAGGCUUUAAAAAGACAAAGCACAGACUGCUCAGUGGUUUUAAGUUGAGUAGAGGCUGCUCAGUGGUUUUAAGUUUAGUAGAGGCUGCUCAGUGGUUUUAAGUUGAGUAGAGGCUGCUCAGUGGUUUUAAGUUGAGUAGAGGCUGCUCAGGGGUUUUAAGUUGAGUAGAGGCUGCUCAGUGGUUUUAAGUUGAGUAGAGGCUGCUCAGUGGUUUUAAGUUGAGUAGAGGCUGCUCAGGGGUUUUAAGUUGAGUAGAGGCUGCUCAGUGGUUUUAAGUUGAGUAGAGGCUGCUCAGUGGUUUUAAGUUGAGUAGAGGCUGCUCAGGGGUUUUAAGUUGAGUAGAGGCUGCUCAGUGGUUUUAAGUUGAGUAGAGGCUGCUCAGUGGUUUUAAGUUGAGUAGAGGCUGCUCAGUGGUUUUAAGUUGAGUAGAGGCUGCUCAGUGGUUUUAAGUUGAGUAGAGGCUGCUCAGUGGUUUUAAGUUGAGUAGAGGCUGCUCAGUGGUUUUAAGUUGAGUAGAGGCUGCUCAGUGGUUUUAAGUUGAGUAGAGGCUGCUCAGUGGUUUUAAGUUGAGUAGAGGCGUAAUUGGAGUAAUUGAGAAACCUCCUUCUGUAAGUGCAUGACUAAGUGACAACAGAAAAACUAGUCAUUCAUUACGUCCGAUUGAGUGAAGCCAAUUCUGAGACCGUCAUCAGUUGAAGUGCCGAGCAAUGAGCGGUUCUGCAUCUAUAGCCUUUAAGUGCUCUGGACCAGGGAUGCAGCGUCCUUUUUGACAGAGGCGGUGUUUUAACAAUCAUUGAAACAUCCAUAACGAUCUCCAGUGCGAUUAUCAUAAAGAUUAUAUAAAACUAAAAGACAAAAAAAUAAAAAAUAAAGACAUUGGUGAAACAACCACCACAAUGAAGUCAUCAGCUUUGGUAGAAUACUAAACAACAGUUACAUUUUCCUUUCUAGUGUGGGCAGAACAUGCAGUACAAUACUCUUUUCAUCUCUGCCUGCAGUCAUGUUCAUUCAUCACUAAAAAAUGACUAUAUUCUUCUCUAAUAGCAAAAAAAAGAUCCACGUCAAACAAACUCUUCCAAUCCUUCAGGUGUCAAUCUUUUUUUCCCCCCUUAGAAAGAUAAAGGCAGGUAAGGAAAGACAAGACACGCGAUAACAAAAUAAAAAGUUAACUGUGCAUCGAGUGGAUACAGGGUGAAAGGCAGCUUCAGCUAAACAGGAAGCCAGGGGGAAGGCAGCUUCAGCUAAACAGGAAGCUGAACAAACAACAAAGUGUUUCCAGGGGUGAGUUAAAGAACACAGAAGACAGGGUUCAACUGUCAAUCAGAGCUGUUGGGGGAGAGGGGAGAAAUGUACUGCAUCCAGAAUGCCACCCUAUUCCCUAUGUAGUGCACUACUUUUGACCAGGGCCUGCGUAAUAGGGCUCUGGUGAAGAGUAGUGCACUAUAUAGUGAAUAGGGUUCCAUUUGGGAGGCAACCCUAGACUAACUCCUUUGGGGAAGGGAGAGAGAGGGGUGCAGUUGAGGGGCAUUCCUUGUUCUUUUCAGAAUUGUUUUGGGUUCUCUAACGUGUCAUUUUUUCAAAUGGGAUGGCGAGUCGUUUUCCUCUGUAGCCUACAGAAUAGCCAGGCAGUUCAGCGGCAAUAAGUAGCCUAGCCUGGCCAAGACCCAGUGCUUUGUAGGUAGCCUGGUACCAGGCCUGGUGAGGGGUUGGAGGAGUGCUAGGUAGGUAGCCUGGUUUCAGGCCUGGUGAGGGGUUGGAGGAGAGCUAGGUAGGUAGCCUGGUGAGGGGUUGGAGGAGUGCUAGGUAGGUAGCCUGGUACCAGGCCUGGUGAGGGGUUGGAGGAGUGCUAGGUAGGUAGCCUGGUACCAGGCCUGGUGAGGGGUUGAAGGAGUGCUAGGUAGGUAGCCUGGUACCAGGCCUGGUGAGGGGUUGGGGGUGUGCUAGGUAGGUAGCCUGGUACCAGGCCUGGUGAGGGGUUGGAGGAGUGCUAGGUAGGUAGCCUGGUACCAGGCCUGGUGAGGGGUUGGGGGUGUGCUAGGUAGGUAGCCUGGUACCAGGCCUGGUGAGGGGUUGGAGGAGUGCUAGGUAGGUAGCCUGGUACCAGACCUGGUGAGGGGUUGGAGGAGUGCUAGGUAGGUAGCCUGGUUCCAGGUGAGGGGUUGGAGGAGUGCUAGGUAGGUAGCCUGGUUCCAGGUGAGGGGUUGGAGGAGUGCUAGGUAGGUAGCCUGGUACCCAGGCCUGGUGAGGGGUUGGAGGAGUGCUAGGUAGGUAGCCUGGUUCCAGGUGAGGGGUUGGAGGAGUGCUAGGUAGGUAGCCUGGUUCCAGAUGAGGGGUUGGAGGAGUGCUAGGUAGGUAGCCUGGUUCCAGGUGAGGGGUUGGAGGAGUGCUAGGUAGGUAGCCUGGUACCCAGGCCUGGUGAGGGGUUGGAGGAGUGCUAGGUAGGUAGCCUGGUUCCAGGUGAGGGGUUGGAGGAGUGCUAGGUAGGUAGCCUGGUUCCAGGUGAGGGGUUGGAGGAGUGCUAGGUAGG
Oncorhynchus keta (chum salmon) is the source of this 2597-nucleotide long non-coding RNA. RefSeq lists it as uncharacterized. Lineage: Eukaryota; Metazoa; Chordata; Actinopteri; Salmoniformes; Salmonidae. The transcript is spliced from 3 exons. The record is from RefSeq and is a predicted model, not a curated record.